Molecule: long non-coding RNA, 424 nt
Organism: Perognathus longimembris pacificus (Pacific pocket mouse)
Lineage: Eukaryota; Metazoa; Chordata; Mammalia; Rodentia; Heteromyidae
Exons: 3
Source: RefSeq, a predicted model, not a curated record
UUUGCAAGAGGUAUCUUUGAGAACUUUGAUUUAUAAAUUGGCAUUUUAAAUUACAAAAAAAAACCCAACUAAUAAAAGUGAAUACUGCCAAAGGUUAGUGAUUUCCAAGUACACUGAAUAAUUGUGCCUGCUUUUAUUUUUGUAAUACAAGUAACACAUCAUGUGAAGUACAACUUACACAAUUGCUGCCAUUGUCCUUUGACCCAGCAUAUCUGAUUAUUAGAUAGAAUGCAGGACAGUCCAGAGCUGCCAUCUAGAAUCUGCCCCCAUAAUCCUGGACAGCAAAGCCUGCACUUCUUGGGUCCUAAAGAUGCCAAAAUAAGCCCAGAAAGGAAAAAAAAAGUUUUAAAUAGAGAAAUGGUGGCAUGAGACUAAAGGGUGGCCAGAUUGAAAAAAAAAUGCAAAAGCAGUAUCCUAAAAGUGC